This 358-nucleotide long non-coding RNA is filed under the name Volvox carteri. Its description in RNAcentral is "long non-coding RNA (VCAR_LNC000095)". Lineage: Eukaryota; Viridiplantae; Chlorophyta; Chlorophyceae; Chlamydomonadales; Volvocaceae. The record is from RNAcentral.
CCUCAGGAGCAGCAGCAGCGGGUGCAGCGGCCGGCUUGGGUUUCGGGGCACCCGCCGGAGCUCCACCCUCGUAGACGAAGGUGUUGGCACACUUGCCGCAGUACACACGGUCGAAGUGGGUUGCCAUGAAAGUGCCGGGGCCGCAGUUCGGGCACUGCUUCCGCAGACGCUGCACCUUGCCCGAGUCGUCCACCUACAGCCACAGAGUACGGGUGCAGGACCGUCCAGGCAACACCAAGCAUUAAUCCACUAAUCUUCACACAGCGAUUUGCGGGGAUCAAACCCAACGUGCACGAGCUCCACGUCACUAAGUGUCGUCAACGACUAUGACUUAGUCACAAAACCCAGCAAAACGUAC